UUAACACAUGCAAGUCGAGGGGCAGCAUUCCAGUUUGCUUGCAAACUGGAGAUGGCGACCGGCGCACGGGUGAGUAACACGUAUCCAACCUGCCGAUAACUCGGGGAUAGCCUUUCGAAAGAAAGAUUAAUACCCGAUGGCAUAAUAGAACCGCAUGGUUUGAUUAUUAAAGAAUUUCGGUUAUCGAUGGGGAUGCGUUCCAUUAGGCAGUUGGUGGGGUAACGGCCCACCAAACCUUCGAUGGAUAGGGGUUCUGAGAGGAAGGUCCCCCACAUUGGAACUGAGACACGGUCCAAACUCCUACGGGAGGCAGCAGUGAGGAAUAUUGGUCAAUGGACGAGAGUCUGAACCAGCCAAGUAGCGUGAAGGAUGACUGCCCUAUGGGUUGUAAACUUCUUUUAUAUGGGAAUAAAGUGGUCCACGUGUGGAUUUUUGUAUGUACCAUAUGAAUAAGGAUCGGCUAACUCCGUGCCAGCAGCCGCGGUAAUACGGAGGAUCCGAGCGUUAUCCGGAUUUAUUGGGUUUAAAGGGAGCGUAGGUGGACAGUUAAGUCAGUUGUGAAAGUUUGCGGCUCAACCGUAAAAUUGCAGUUGAUACUGGCUGUCUUGAGUACAGUAGAGGUGGGCGGAAUUCGUGGUGUAGCGGUGAAAUGCUUAGAUAUCACGAAGAACUCCGAUUGCGAAGGCAGCUCACUGGACUGCAACUGACACUGAUGC
RNAcentral lists this ribosomal RNA (716 nucleotides) under uncultured Bacteroidales bacterium. Its description in RNAcentral is "bacterial SSU rRNA". It matches the Rfam family "Bacterial small subunit ribosomal RNA", at positions 48 to 752 of the family's 1533-position model. Lineage: Bacteria; Pseudomonadati; Bacteroidota; Bacteroidia; Bacteroidales. The record is from RNAcentral.